UGCACCUCUGAGCUCUAUCCCUGGCCAGAGAUAAUUAAGAAUGAGUAGGCGUGGGGAAGCAGGAAAGCUUCAGGGCCUUGAGCCGUGAGCCCAUCUCUCACAAUGCAGAGGAGCUUCUCUGGAUUCCUGGAACGGUGCACCUUUUAGACAAAGCACACUUUCAGGUAAGCUCACCAGGGAAAAUCCUUCCCAGAA
This 195-nucleotide long non-coding RNA is filed under the name Chinchilla lanigera (long-tailed chinchilla). Its description in RNAcentral is "lncRNA (ENSCLAG00000023971.1)". The record is from RNAcentral. Lineage: Eukaryota; Metazoa; Chordata; Mammalia; Rodentia; Chinchillidae.